ACUCAAAGGAAUUGACGGGGGCCCGCACAAGCGGCGGAGCGUGCGGUUUAAUUCGACGCAACGCGCAGAACCUUACCAGGGCUUGACAUGCGCCUGCAGAGCCGGGAAACCGGAUGUCCCUCGAGGGUGGCGCACAGGUGCUGCAUGGCUGUCGUCAGCUCGUGUCGUGAGAUGUUGGGUUAAGUCCCGCAACGAGCGCAACCCCCGUGGCCAGUUGCCGAUGUUUCUGGCCAGACUGCCGGUAGCAAGCCGGAGGAAGGUGGGGAUGACGUCAAGUCAGCAUGGCCCUUACGUCCUGGGCUACACGCACGCUACAAUGGGCGGGACAAUGGGUAGCCAAGCCGCGAGGCGGAGCGAAUCCCCCAAACCCGCCCCCAGUUCGGAUCGUGGGCUGCAACUCGCCCGCGUGAAGUCGGAGUCGCUAGUAACCGCAGGUCAGCACUACUGCGGUGAAUACGUUCCCGGGCCUUGUACACACCGCCCGU
This 485-nucleotide ribosomal RNA is filed under the name uncultured bacterium. RNAcentral's name for it is "partial 16S ribosomal RNA". It matches the Rfam family "Bacterial small subunit ribosomal RNA", at positions 899 to 1397 of the family's 1533-position model. The record is from RNAcentral.